Long non-coding RNA from Chelonia mydas (Green sea turtle), 2502 nucleotides. RefSeq lists it as uncharacterized. The record is from RefSeq and is a predicted model, not a curated record. NCBI's taxonomy places the organism in Eukaryota, Metazoa, Chordata, Testudines, Cheloniidae. The transcript has 5 exons.
GGCCUUCCCGCCUCCGCUGCCCCCGAGCCCGCCAGGCCCCGGCCUGCGCAGCGCUGCCCCCUCCGCCUCCACUGCCUGUUCCGCUCUGCGCCCCCGGCCGGGCGCCCCCGCGCGCACAGGCUCCGUCCUUGGCCCCCGGGCUCGGAGAGCAGCGAGCGCGAGCAGCGGGCCUGGCCUGGCCACGGCUUCAGCCGCCAGGGGCCAGACGCGCGCCCCUCCUGCGCCCGGCCCCCGGUCUGGGCUGACGACAGGGCUUUGCUGGGCUUCGUGCUGCUGCCACCGUGGGGUAGAUGAGGACUGUGGCAUGAAGUUGAUCAAACCCGGCUGCUUAUCUUCCAGGUUGACCCCAAGGGGCCUUAAGGUACCGUUCAGUUUUCGGGCUGUCCUACAAAAACCAACCACCGUGCUAUUCCGUUAGGAGCUGAACAUGAGAAGGCCCUGAGCUCCUUAGCCGGGGAAAAUACAACAAUGUCCCAAAGAACAUACAAGCUGCAGUGGCGUAGCUAGGUGGAGCGAACAGAGGGAGCGGCUAACCAAGAGCGACAGAGCCAAUAGGAUACACUGAGAAGCCCGGCAGAGGGAAUAGCCAACAAAAACAUCCUAGUUUUCUCCUUAGAUGAAGGUGCAGAUCGCAAUUACCCUAGCCUGGUUCUGUGAGCAGGCCUCUGGAGGACACAUUUUAUUAUGCAGCCAAUGGGAGCUGCAGGGGUGGUGCCCUGCGUGGAGGAAGCAUGCGGAGCUGCCCGGCCAUGCCUCUGCCUAGCAGCUAAGCAAGGGGGAUGUCGUUUCCGGGGAGCCACCCAGCAUUAGUGCAAGAGAUGAGGACAAAGUUCUUCAGACUGACCAAGAGAAAAGAUCAGAGUUCAAAUGAUGGUGAGGCCAGAGGGGGUCUGAUGACUCUGCAAUGACACAUUUCUAUGCAGAGCAACAUAACCACCAAAAAUUCAGCAGCGUAAAGUAAUCCAGUCAUUACUGAGAAGCAGGAAAGAAGCCACAUCAGCAGACACAAAUCUUUGAAGCAGAUGUUCCUAGUCUUUCUGCCAACCCUGGUGGGUGCUGGAUGGGCAAGGACAGCAUCCCAAACUGACAGCAUGCUUAUCUCAUGAAAGGAGAGUCCCAGGCCAGCCUGGCUGUAAAGUGCUUCAAGGAUGUUGGGUGAGCAAUACACUACAAGACAUGAGAGUAUCCUGUUAAUUAAGUCUAGGCUCUAGAAUGCAUGUCAUGAUUUUAUUUUAUAUGUAUACAUUUGUUUCCAGUACUUCUACUUGCUAUUACUUGAAUUCUGUGCUUUGUUAAAUAAAUUUAUACUGGAUUUCACUGUAAACAUAUGUAAGUGCUGUGUGUUAAGCGGAACAGUGAUCUGAGGUGAAACUGGUAAGCUGAGAUGUACUGUUUCUUUAGAAGCAGAGGAUCUGUGAAUACUGCUAUUGUUCAGUGGACCAGGGCCUGGACACUCCAGGAGAUGCUCAGAAGGUUCACGGGUUGGCAUGUGCCAAUUGCUACCUGUAGAGUGGCAGCAGGGCCUGCGAGGCUAGAGGGGAGCGCUUGUGUUGCCCGUGACCAGUGCAGCUGGGGAGCUGACCCAAAGCAGGCACAAAGUUUCCUCACACGAAGGGCAGGUGGUAGCAAGGUGCCUCACAACCCUGGGUAUCCCGGGAAACAUAACAAUAUGAUGUUCAAACAAAUGCAGAGAAUAUCUUAAAGGUCAGAAUUCACAAUUGUGUUCUGAGGGAAUCCUGGCACAGCUGCUAAUUGCCUCUAAAGGACAUUAAAUCAGUAUAUUUUUGUAGGUUUUUCAGAGGGAAUGUGGGGGAACAUUUGUUAUUUUUGCAUUGACAGAACAAUUUAUGCUUGCAGAACUGGAUGUUUCUGUCAUGGGUGAUUAAACCUCCAGUUUUGUUUGAUUUGAAGUUAGAGGACUGUAAAUUUGAAAAGCUCAUGAAAAACAAAUUAUGCAUUCUAUUACAUGUAGAUCCACUAGGGGACUUCAGAAAGAAAUGUUUAAGAUUCAGUACCAAGAUAAGUAAAGGCAGACACUUCAAGUCACACACUAUGGACUUGGCUCCACAAAUGAGAGAAAUAUCUCAACAUUCAAAAAUAACUGAGCAAUUAGCAAGAAAUUAAAUUACAGGUAAAUUGAGUAAAAGAUGCCUAUUAUGUUUACAGGAAUUUGCAAGAAAACUAGAAAACCUGCCUCCAAUCUGUAGCAAUCUCAAAAUGGAAUUAUUUAAUUUUAAAAAGCCACGGAGCCUUGAUGCCCUGCUGCCUCCUCGACCCUGUUUUGUACAGCAGGUAUAAUCAGCACUCAGAAGUACUAUUCUGCUAAUUUUAAGAUCAAAGGCAGUUUGUUUCUACGAUGCAAGAUAUUUAACAUUUUUCUCACCAUCUGAUAUACAGAAAUCUGUGUUGUAUUUUAUAUUCAACUGGAAUGAUUUUAAGAAUGCAAAUGCAUAAUUGUACAUAUGUUUAAUAGGUGAUGUGCAAUUCUAACCUGAAGUAAUG